AGGCAAACAACUACAUCGCAAUUUCUUCUUCAUCUUGCUUCGAUUUGCAACACUUUUCUCCGCCUACCUAUCGAUGCUAACUGGCUCAGAUCCUUGCGACUAAUGAUCUUCCCACUGACUUUGAUCUUCAAUCCUAAUUUCCACUUUUCUCUCUCUGUAGUACAAAAUAGUCGCCAGAGUCGAAAUUCCCAAACCUAAUGUCAUUCGUGUUGUCUUGAUCUUCCAAAGAAAGUACAAAACAAAUCUAGAGAAUUGAGAUUUGAACCCAUAAUUAGAAUAUUCAAAAUUUCGUUUUCCCAUUUCCGUGUAUUUUUGUUCGAUUUCCUUACCCUAUAUUCCUUUUUCUUUCAAUCUUUGUUAGUUUGUUUUAGUACCAAGUUUUCUAAAACAUUUCCAAAGAAUGUGUUGUAUUUUGUUUUGUUGGAUCGUAUCAACACUUCUCUUAACGGUAUUUUCUCUUUUUUGUCGAAGUUAUGUCGUCUAAUAAUCGUAGAUUCCUACAAUUUUCAGUUGAUUAUACGUUUUUUUAUGAUUUUUGGGCAUGUUGAUAGUUUUCUCUCUAGAUUUUGUUCGUUGGCAAAUGUGGAAAUUAUGGAAUAUUUUAGAACUGAGAGGAUUUCAGAGCGAGAUUGUUUGUAGGUUGUUGUAUUGUAUUGAAAGAGGGAGGGAAGAGCCAGGAUAGCUGAAAGGGGCUCUCAUUGAUGCGACUACUACUACAACUUUUGGUGUUGUUUCGAGAACUCACACCUCGAUUUGACGCAAUUCAUAUCAAAUUUGAGCUCAAGUUUUCGCCAAUAUUUGUUUGGAGAGUGUUGCAUUGUUAUGUGAACUCUUAUGAGAAUUUGGUUGGAUAUGGUUAAUGUGUUAAAGUGGUGCCGGGUGAUAAUUUACGAUAGUGAAUCAUUCUUGUAACCGAGAAUCACAGGCUUGAGUUUGUUUGUAUUAUCGGUGUUGGUCCUCUGUUGUUCCUUAGUUUACUUCUCUCUAUUGCAAAUAAUGAUUUGUAAAUAUAGGAUUCUCCUUAAAUUGUUGAACCACUGAAAUGCUUUAAAAGAAACAUGUUGUGGAUGUCUUUGGGUUCCAAUAUACAAAGUAGGGUAGUUUGCCUAUUUAUUAAUGAUCUGUUUCGAUGAUUAAGUAAUUGGGAGUUUAGUUGAACUUGUUUAAUUAAUAAUUGCUAUUGUAUGUACUUUACCUAUAACACUUUUACACAUAUAUUUGUAAAAGAGGAGAACAUGGACAAAGCUUAUGAUUUGAUAAAUAGAAUGGAAAAUUAAAUUAUAUUUCCUAAUGUAAUUACAUAUAAUGAUUUGACAAAGCUCGUGUUUUCUAUAUAGUUGUUUGUAUUCUUACCUCAUUGAUGUUUCAUUUCGUUGUUCCUAUUGAUACGUAAUUUUGCAUUUACUCGAUACACUAUGAUGUGAUUUUUCAAAAUAAACAAGCAACGAUUUCUAAAAUCUAAGUGG
Molecule: long non-coding RNA, 1466 nt
Filed under: Olea europaea (common olive)
Lineage: Eukaryota; Viridiplantae; Streptophyta; Magnoliopsida; Lamiales; Oleaceae
Description: long non-coding RNA (OEUR_LNC006884)
Source: RNAcentral